Molecule: ribosomal RNA, 460 nt
Filed under: uncultured bacterium
Lineage: Bacteria
Description: partial 16S ribosomal RNA
Rfam family: Bacterial small subunit ribosomal RNA
Source: RNAcentral
CCUACGGGAGGCAGCAGUGAGGAAUAUUGGUCAAUGGGCGUAAGCCUGAACCAGCCAAGUCGCGUGAGGGAAGAAGGUUCUAUGGAUCGUAAACCUCUUUUAUAAGGGAAUAAAGUGCGGGACGUGUCCCGUUAUGCAUGUACCUUAUGAAUCAGGAUCGGCUAACUCCGUGCCAGCAGCCGCGGUAAUACGGAGGAUCCGAGCGUUAUCCGGAUUUAUUGGGUUUAAAGGGUGCGUAGGCGGCCUUUUAAGUCAGCGGGGAAAGGCGGUGGCUCAACCAUAGAAUUGCCGUUGAAACUGGGAGGCUGGAGUGUGUUUGAGGCAGGCGGAAUGCGUGGUGUAGCGGUGAAAUGCUUAGAUAUCACGCAGAACCCCGAUUGCGAAGGCAGCCUACCGGGCCAUGACUGACGCUGAUGCACGAAAGCGUGGGGAUCAAACAGGAUUAGAUACCCGAGUAGUC